CCCUAGCCCUUCAGAGGGGGACAACAGUUGGAAACGACUGCUAAUACCGCAUACGAUCUAACCUCGGCAUCGAGGAUGGAUGAAAAGGUGGCCUCUAUUUAUAAGCUAUCACUGAAGGAGGGGAUUGCGUCUGAUUAGCUAGUUGGAGGGGUAACGGCCCACCAAGGCGAUGAUCAGUAGCCGGUCUGAGAGGAUGAACGGCCACAUUGGGACUGAGACACGGCCCAG
This 228-nucleotide ribosomal RNA is filed under the name uncultured bacterium. RNAcentral describes it as "partial 16S ribosomal RNA". It matches the Rfam family "Bacterial small subunit ribosomal RNA", at positions 123 to 334 of the family's 1533-position model. The record is from RNAcentral.